RNAcentral lists this ribosomal RNA (274 nucleotides) under uncultured bacterium. Its description in RNAcentral is "partial 16S ribosomal RNA". It matches the Rfam family "Bacterial small subunit ribosomal RNA", at positions 523 to 796 of the family's 1533-position model. The record is from RNAcentral.
ACACGGAGGGCGCAAGCGUUGCUCGGAAUCACUGGGCGUAAAGCGGGUGUAGGCGGUCUAGCAAGUCAGAUGUGAAAGCCCACGGCUCAACCGUGGAAGUGCAUCUGAAACUGCUAGACUUGAGUGCCGGAGAGGGAAGUGGAAUUCCUGGUGUAGGGGUGAAAUCCGUAGAUAUCAGGAGGAACACCGGUGGCGAAGGCGACUUCCUGGACGGCCACUGACGCUGAGACCCGAAAGCGAGGGGAGCAAACAGGAUUAGAAACCCCAGUAGUCC